UCUUGAUCGGGGUAAUCCAUGUGAUGAAUUUUGAAAAUUAAAAUACAAUGUGGAUGAUCAUAUCAGGAUUGGCAGUUAAACUCUAGGUCACCUUGAGUAUUUAGGUCAAAGGUAUGAAUUAUACGGUAACUAUAUUCAAAUAAAUUCUUGAGUAUUGCUUAGCAUACUUUCGACCUAUCCGGACAUCGGGUACCAUUGCUAGAUGGUUACUUCAAUUGAUACAAAAAUCAAUUUCUGUGCUACCGACUUAGGUUCGAACCUAUGGGGUCACACAUAUUAGAAGUUUCUCUCCGAUCACACGGC
This 303-nucleotide long non-coding RNA is filed under the name Elaeis guineensis (African oil palm). Its description in RNAcentral is "long non-coding RNA (EGUI_LNC034966)". Lineage: Eukaryota; Viridiplantae; Streptophyta; Magnoliopsida; Arecales; Arecaceae. The record is from RNAcentral.